RNAcentral lists this ribosomal RNA (439 nucleotides) under uncultured bacterium. Its description in RNAcentral is "partial 16S ribosomal RNA". It matches the Rfam family "Bacterial small subunit ribosomal RNA", at positions 339 to 795 of the family's 1533-position model. The record is from RNAcentral.
CUACGGGUGGCUGCAGUGAGGAAUAUUGCACAAUGGGGGGAACCCUGAUGCAGCAAUGCCGCGUGGAGGAUGACGCAUUUCGGUGUGUAAACUCCUUUUAUAUGUCAAGAAAAUGACGGUAGCAUAUGAAUAAGCACCGGCUAACUCCGUGCCAGCAGCCGCGGUAAUACGGAGGGUGCAAGCGUUACUCGGAAUCACUGGGCGUAAAGGACGCGUAGGCGGGUUGGAAAGUCAGGUGUGAAAUCCUACAGCUUAACUGUAGAACUGCACUUGAAACUUCUAAUCUAGAGUAUGGGAGGGGGAGAUGGAAUUAGUGGUGUAGGGGUAAAAUCCGUAGAUAUCACUAGGAAUACCGAAAGCGAAGGCGAUCUCCUGGAACAUUACUGACGCUAAGGCGUGAAAGCGUGGGGAGCAAACAGGAUUAGAUACCCCAGUAGUC